GGGGGUGUCUGUUUCGACAAAACCCUGUUCUUUAAAAACCGCAAGCCGGGAAUGGCUUAAUCCCGUUAAACAAAGCCGAAAAACAACAGUCAACAAAAUCGUUGACGGCGUGGUUUCUCUCAAAAACGGACUGGUAGCAAUGCUUGGUCUAAAUGACAGAGAUUACGCUCCCGCUUAUGCUUUUGCUUAAAAAGCGAGCAUAAAUGGCGUUCUGUGGUUGCUUGUCCGAUGGAAACCAUAAGAGCGAAAACAAAGUCGGACUGCGAGAACCGAAACUCGACGACUUUCGGUUUUCAAAGAUUUCUCGUCUUUGGCGGUUUGGAAUUUGUAAAUUUACAAGAAUCGCCAAGAAUUUAAAUUUACUAAGCUUGUAGCGGUUUUAAAGAGCGGUUUUUGGACCCCGGUUCAAUCCGGGCACCUCCACCC
This 426-nucleotide transfer-messenger RNA is filed under the name bacterium. It matches the Rfam family "transfer-messenger RNA". Rfam says of the family: Bacterial tmRNA, also known as 10Sa RNA or SsrA, is named for its dual tRNA and mRNA-like properties. Its role is to liberate the mRNA from a stalled ribosome. The record is from RNAcentral.